Molecule: non-coding RNA, 106 nt
Organism: Acanthosepion pharaonis
Lineage: Eukaryota; Metazoa; Mollusca; Cephalopoda; Sepiida; Sepiidae
Source: the annotation of a GenBank genome assembly
CACACUGCACUGAAAUAUUGGUUCCUAUAUAAACACUGAAGUUAAGCAAUGUCUAUCCUGGUCAGUACCUAGAUGGGUGACCACUUGGGAAUACCAGGUGCUGUCA